GGGACCGCAAUGGCUUCGACAGGGAUCUUGAGGCAUGAUAAGCGUAGCGCGCCGGAUAAUCGCGUCAAAAUGUCCAAACUUAAAAAUAAACGACAACAAUACUGUUGCUCUUGCAGCGUAAGCUGUGACGCGGUUAUAAUACCGCCCGUACCGCGGGAGAGGACUACGGCUCCCGCCGUGCGUCAAAUCAGUAGUGAACUUGCACCGAGAGUUCGCACUUGUAUCGGUCAAGCACAAAAGGGCUACCCGAGGCUGACGCCUGUCUCUCGGCUUCGCUAAGGGGAAUUAACAAAGAGUGACUGCCUACGGAGAAGGUUAUGUCAAGGGGUUUUUGGACACGGGUUCAAUUCCCGUCGGUUCCACCA
This 365-nucleotide transfer-messenger RNA is filed under the name Eubacteriales. RNAcentral's name for it is "UBA1740 sp017938425 Standard tmRNA". It matches the Rfam family "transfer-messenger RNA". From Rfam's summary of the family: Bacterial tmRNA, also known as 10Sa RNA or SsrA, is named for its dual tRNA and mRNA-like properties. Its role is to liberate the mRNA from a stalled ribosome. To accomplish this part of the tmRNA is used as a reading frame that ends in a translation stop signal. Lineage: Bacteria; Bacillati; Bacillota; Clostridia. The record is from RNAcentral. RNAcentral also lists the same sequence under 1 other name.